CUCCCUGCCGUUGAUUUGUGUGUAAGGAUAUAUCGGCUUGAAUGCAGAGAUGAGCUCAUCUCUGCUGAAUAUAUAACAGUACGAAAUCAAAAGUGAAGACAGGUGGAGAACAGUGAAAAUAUUCCAUCGAGUAAUCGAAAUUGGUCGAGAUCGAGUUAGAUCUAACGUGGAUAAAUGAUCGUUUGAAUAAAUAGAUGGACUCGAAAGUUUCAGGUGGAUCUCUCAAAGAAUGUAUUUUCAACAUGAACUCGAUUCCCUGGGAAUCAUUGUUGCAAGACUUAAAAGAAAAUGUACCGCAUGAAGCGAGAGUGCAUUUAAUUCCAAUACUUUCGACGCUGAGGGCAUUUGGAAGUAGCGAUCGAAGAGUCGAGUUUUCUCCAAACUGGGUAAAAAAUUCAUUACUACGCUUGGAAGCUUGUUUAGAUCGAGCAUGGGAGUCUCUUAAUUCCGGGUACUGGAAAGAUGUUCCUAUUGAGCACAGAGUCUGCUAUUCUGUAUGUAGUAUCCUUAUGGCAUUAAUACUUCAGAUGAAGGGUGAAAACGAUACGGAAAAGUCUGCAAAAAGUAAAGACGAAAACUUGCAGCAAAUAAUACAGCAGAUUGACAAAGGCAUUUUGUUAGGAGCACCCUUGCCUCAUGCUCCAGACCUUCUAACAACAAUUGCCUCAAAUGCUAAUCGUUAUUUUGUUGAAAACUUGGGGGUAAUGGAAAAUAGUAGUAAAGUGUUAUUCGAAGAUGCAAGUAUUUGUCAAGAAACAUACCCUGGUUUUGAAACUGUGAAGCAAUACUAUGAACCGUCUAUGGAAACCUUCUACAGAGAUAUAUUUGCAAGAAAGACUCCAGCAAUUUUAGCAGGAUGCUUGAAGCAUUGGAAAGCAUUGACAUUAUGGCGAAAUGCAGAUUAUUUAAUGAGGGUAGCUGGAACGCGUACCGUACCGAUUGAAAUUGGAUCUCGUUACACCGAGGAAGACUGGACCCAACAUCUUGUCUCCUUCUCUGAUUUUCUACAAACUCACAUAUCAAGGAAAAAUAAUAAAGUGGGAUAUUUGGCGCAGCACCCACUUUUUGAACAGUACCAGAGUACUGCAGCUUUUCAGAGGGUGAAGAAGACGUAACGCCACCUGACAUAAAUGCAUGGUUUGGCCCAAGCGGAACUGUAUCACCCUUGCAUUAUGAUCCAAAGUAUAAUUUAUUAUGUCAGGUAUUUGGAUACAAAAGAAUAAUAUUGUAUUCCCCGGAAGAUACUCCAAAUCUGUAUCCCUACGAGACAAGAUUACUUUGCAAUACUGCUCAAGUAGAUCCUGGCCAUCCAGACUUCGAAAAGUGGCCGAA
This 1332-nucleotide unclassified non-coding RNA is filed under the name Orussus abietinus. Its description in RNAcentral is "jmjC domain-containing protein 5, transcript variant X1". Lineage: Eukaryota; Metazoa; Arthropoda; Insecta; Hymenoptera; Orussidae. The record is from RNAcentral.